Molecule: non-coding RNA, 2097 nt
Organism: Macaca mulatta (Rhesus monkey)
Lineage: Eukaryota; Metazoa; Chordata; Mammalia; Primates; Cercopithecidae
Source: RefSeq, a predicted model, not a curated record
CCCAAGGGGCGGGGCGACGGGCGGUGCCACGACGUAGCGGGUGGGGAGCCCUCGCCUCAGUCCGAGUCCCGGCACUGCGGUGUUGCGGCUCUGGAGGAGGUGGGACAACGGCGGUUGUGCCAGUCCGGGCGCUGCACCCCAUUCCCGGAACUCUAACCGUAUCCCCAGAUAGAGGGAUGGGAACACAUUUGCUUUCCCAGUAAAACGAAACGGACAGAUUGUGAAGAAGCGGACAAACCUCGCGUUAAUAUUCGAACCAGUCAGUGUCCCCAUUGGCACAGAUCACACCCCCAUCUUUUAAUCCCUCCGUCCGCCCCGUGUCCCUUCAUUUACUACACUCGUCCUCUUCCAGGCCUGGUGCUCGGCGCUUCUGAGAGGAGUAGGCUCACAGAACAGCAGCGCUACAGAGACCCCUGGGGUACGCGAGGCAGGGGGAUUCCGCCCCUUUGGAAGGUGGCCCAGACCCUCAGGCACUAAAGGACUUCGUCGAGACAGGAGAGCCCGCAGAGAUCGGCAGAGAUCGUCCUCUUCUGGAUAACCAGAGUCCACAAUCAAACCUUAAAAUAACCCUUUUGGGGGCGCUGUUCCCUUUGACAAACUUUGGAAAAUGUACACAAUCUUGUGCACAACACGAGAGUUACGGACCUGGGUUAAGGAACGUUGUUUUCUUUUGUUCCCCCCUUGCUGACAUCAUUAAACCCAGCUCUCUCUUCGUUGAUACGACUUUUCUGUGCAUGAGGCUAGGUUGAGAGACAAUGAAGCUAGGCUUGGUACCAGCUCAUUCUCAGCAGCCAUCAUGCCCGGCCUAGUCUUGUUCCCUGGCCUGUUUCCACUUUUCCAGCUCUGUUGGCUCCUGACGUUGGCUUUGUGUCCAGUUUUCCAGUGUGACCCUGACGUUUGGACUUGGCAGCGACACUUUAUUUCCCUAACUUUGAUAGUGGGCAUUAGUCUUCAUUCUCCUCAGCCCCGCCUCAUCAGCUUUUCUCCAUCCUGGUCAUCUACCUUCCCUCAGUUGAUCCUACCUGGCCUACCUGACCAAUGCAUCCCUUUCCACAAAGAUAUUCACACAGGAGGAGAUCUGGGCUACCUUGGAGAAGAAGCCAAAGAGCCAGUGAGAUAUUUAUGAAGCCAUGAAAGCCAUCUUCCCUAGAGUUGCCUGUCACUUCUCUCUCCUCAGGGAGACAUGUCAGUCAGUUCCUAGAGAAACUGCUCCUUAUCACAACCCUCAGCUGUCAGGUUUCCCUGGCACCCAGAGGGGACUGAGCCAGCAGCUGACCUGAAAACAGCAAGUCUGCUGACUGUCCAGCGACCAUUUUCCUCUAUUGAGAAUUUUAACCAAGUGUCUGGUGUCUGCAGUUAUUUGAUAUUGGCUGUGGACCCACAGUCACACAAGGCUGAAGGACAGCACAGAAGAGGCAGUACAUCUUAACAAAAUUGGGUUCUGGAAGAAGGGAGAGGUGGUGAAUGGUUGUUGCAAGCAAUCAACAGUUCAUACUUCAAUGGAAAGAAGGUGGGAUUUGAUUCCUUGUCGCAAAUCUUCACUCUGUCACCUGCUAUCUGUGUGUCCUCAGUAAACAUCUAGAGGCUAGGAAUGCCUAACUUUCUGGGAAUUCAGUCCAGCAACUCUCAGCCUCAUUUUCCUAGCCCUCACUCAAAAUGGAGUCUCUCUGGUUCGAAUGCCUCUGACAAAACCAUCACUACAAUCAAGUCUCCCAUCAAGGAGUGAUGUCUCUUUCUCCAUUUGAAUCUGGGCUGGCCUUGCCAGUAGAAUAUGGCAGAAGUGACAUUGUUCCGGUUCUGAGUCAAAGCCUGAGGAGGCCUUGCAUGUUUCCACUCUCUCUUGCAACCCUGCACUGCCACAUAUCAACAAGACUUAUCAACAAGCCUGGGAUAGCCUACUAGAUGAAAGAUAUAUGGCCCGCUUGCUCCCAUCACUCCAGCUGAUAGCCAGCCAACUCUAAGAAGCAAAGUCACCUAGCUGAUUAGUAGCUGACCACUGACACAAAAGUAAGAUCAUCUGAGACCAGAAGACAGCCCAGCUGAGCACAGCCCAAAUUACUGACCCACAAAAUAAUAAAUAAAUGGUUAUUAUUUUUA